GACGAACCGUGCGAACGUUGUUCGGAAUCACUGGGCUUAAAGGGCGCGUAGGCGGUCGACCAAGUCUGGGGUGAAAUCUUUCGGCUUAACCGGAAAAGUGCCUUGGAUACUGGUCGGCUCGAGGGAGGUAGGGGCAGCUGGAACUUCCAGUGGAGCGGUGAAAUGCGUUGAUAUUGGAAGGAACGCCGGUGGCGAAAGCGAGCUGCUGGACCUCUUCUGACGCUGAGGCGCGAAAGCUAGGGGAGCAAACGGG
Molecule: ribosomal RNA, 253 nt
Filed under: uncultured prokaryote
Description: partial 16S ribosomal RNA
Rfam family: Bacterial small subunit ribosomal RNA
Source: RNAcentral